Molecule: ribosomal RNA, 699 nt
Filed under: uncultured bacterium
Lineage: Bacteria
Description: bacterial SSU rRNA
Rfam family: Bacterial small subunit ribosomal RNA
Source: RNAcentral
CUAAUACAUGCAAGUCGAGCGGACUUGACAGGAAAGUUUGCUUUCCUGUCGGUCAGCGGCGGACGGGUGAGUAACACGUGGGCAACCUGCCUGUAAGACCGGGAUAACUCGCGGAAACGCGGGCUAAUACCGGAUAGUUCCUCUUGUCGCAUGGCGGGAGGAGGAAAGAGGGCGCAAGCUCUCGCUUGCAGAUGGGCCCGCGGCGCAUUAGCUAGUUGGUAGGGUAACGGCCUACCAAGGCGACGAUGCGUAGCCGACCUGAGAGGGUGAUCGGCCACAUUGGGACUGAGACACGGCCCAAACUCCUACGGGAGGCAGCAGUAGGGAAUCUUCCGCAAUGGACGAAAGUCUGACGGAGCAACGCCGCGUGAGCGAAGAAGGUCUUCGGAUCGUAAAGCUCUGUUGUCAGGGAAGAACAAGUACCGUUCGAUAAGGGCGGUACCUUGACGGUACCUGACGAGAAAGCCCCGGCUAACUACGUGCCAGCAGCCGCGGUAAUACGUAGGGGGCGAGCGUUGUCCGGAAUCAUUGGGCGUAAAGCGCGCGCAGGCGGUCCUUUAAGUCUGAUGUGAAAUCUUGCGGCUUAACCGCAAGCGGUCAUUGGAAACUGGAGGACUUGAGUGCAGGAGAGGGAAGCGGAAUUCCAUGUGUAGCGGUGAAAUGCGUAGAGAUAUGGAGGAACACCAGUGGCGAAGGCGG